Molecule: long non-coding RNA, 3136 nt
Organism: Acinonyx jubatus (cheetah)
Lineage: Eukaryota; Metazoa; Chordata; Mammalia; Carnivora; Felidae
Exons: 3
Source: RefSeq, a predicted model, not a curated record
GGGCAAAGGACUUAAAUAGAUAUUUUUCCAAAGAAGAUACCCGAAUGGCUAAUAGGCACACGAGGAAAUGCUGUUUCUCACCAAUCUUUCGGGGAAUGCAAAUCAAAAUCACAAUGAGCCACCGCAUCACGCCCCAUUGAGGAACAUCCUGUGCUCUGCCUAUAGAUUCUCUGGCUGCCCCAACAUGAUCGUGGCUAAUGCUUCGUGGCUUGCAGGCCUGUUCCAGGAUGUCAUCAAGAGGACACGACCGCUGGUUGACCCAUGAUCUGGACUCAGCCAAUCAGAGGCUCCUCCCUCCCACCCCCCCCCCCCCCAGCCACGGAAUGUACUUCUGUCCGCUGUUCCCGCAGUGGGAGCUGUUCCAAGGACGUAGCCUUGACAGAGUAAGGUGUUGUUGAGACCAUGUGGAUGGUAUACGUGACUGAGUCCAGUUUAAGAUGCUGGUGGGUGGGUGGGGAGACCCACUCCUCUUGUGGCGCCCAAGACAGGGCUUCGCACGGAGCUGCCGCAGUGGACCGGCCGCUACUCUGGGCAGUGCGCACCAGAGGCUGAAGCUUGGGUUAGAAAGUUGGAAGAGCUGAAGUUAGGAAGGCGGUUGUCCAUGACUCUGUUGGCUUCGGGGCUCACAGCACGGUCGACAUGCUUGGCUGCUGAGAACACCGAACCCUAUCACACCGGAAAGAGGCAUUCUCUGCGUUCUCUACUGGAACUUGCGAUGAGACAUCCCCCAGGAUGGGGAGGUUAGUUCGAAUCCCUGAAUGAGGGGGGAUCCCCUCAAUCUCCACUGGGUCCCACCAACCCGCUGCAAGCGGGACCUGUGGAAAUGUGUUAUACCCGGAAUGGAGCACGCCCCCUUGAGAGAAGGUGGGGGUCCUGGUCUGGCCCACCCAGCCCCCGGUCCAUCUCUUCACACCUGACAGUGCUGCCUCUCCUGGCCAACGCGUAGGGUAUGUACAACCAGGUCAAGUUCCUAAAACCGCCAGCCUCCCUCUCCUCAAGGCCAGGUGGUCAUGUCUUUCCACUGGUACCAUUGUUUGGCGGCCAUCUUUGUUCCCUCGGUUGGGCAGGAGGACGUUAUUUUGUUUUUAUUUUUUUAAUGCCUAUUUUAAUUUUUUUGAGAGAGAGACGGAGCGCUAAUAAGAGAGGGGCAGAGAGAGAGGGAGACACAGAAUCCGAAACAGGCUCCAAGCUCUGAGCUGUCAGCACAGAGCCCGAUGUGGGGCUCGAACCCAUGAGCCACGAGAUCAUGACCUGAGCCGAUGUCGGACGCUCAACCUACUGAGUCACCCAGGCGCCCCUGGUCAGGAGGACAUUAUAGCACACACAGAAGCCCUUACUAAAGUCACCCAGCAAAUCUUGAACGAUAGCCAACAAAGCCUGUCUUUACUGAACCCUAAAAUCUUUCUAAUGAGGAAAGCUGUCCGCCAAAACAGAAUGGCCUUGGACAUGAUCACUGCUUGGCAAGGAGACACCUGUGUCAUUUUCCAAACAGAACAUUGUGUGUUCCCAUCCGAUAAGGCAGCUAGCACAUCGUCUUUAUUAAAUCACAUGGGGACACAGGUGAACACCUGCAGCAACCUGACCCCUGGCCUGGGAGACUUUAUAAAUCAGUGGGGGGUGGGGGGGGUAUGUGUAAGAUUGUAAGAGUCGGUCAUGAGGGGUGGAGGAUGGGGGGACGUCACACAGGACAGGACUGCUGGUUGACCCAUGAUCUGGACUCAGCCAAUCAGAGGCUCCUCCCUCCCUCCCCCGACCACGGAAUGUACCUCUGCUCACUGUUCCCACAGUGGGAGCUGUUCCAAGGACGUAGCCUUGACAGAGUAAGGCGUUGAGACCAUGUGGAUGGUAUACAUGACUGAGUCCAGUUAAGGUCUCUGUAUAAACUUGAAGAUUCUGGGGGUGCCCGGGUGGCUCAGGCAGUUGCGCGGCCGACUUCAGCUCAGGUCAUGAUCUCACAGCUCGUGAGUUCGAGCCCCGCAUCGGGCUCUGUGCUGACAGCUCGGAGCCUGGAGCCCGCUUCGGAUUCUGUGUCUCCCUCUCUCUCUGCCCCUAACCAACUCGCAGUCUGUCUGUCUAUCUCAAAAGUAAAUAAACAUUAAAAAAAAUUUAAAAGCCAACUUUAAGAUUCUGGAGGGUGGGUGGGGAGACCCACUCCUCUUGUGGCGCCCAAGACAAGGCUCGUAAGUGAGUUCCCUUGCUUAUUAAACCUGCCACCUACCCAUCUGGAGUGGUCCGCCUCUUUCUUUGGUCCCCCCUUGUCCUCUGUGUGUAGGGGCCAGUUUUGCGAACCAACAAUGUCACAACCUCAGGUGGUGAAGACUGCACGACCCCCAGUCCCUUUUUACUCAGAGAUAAGAGGCUUUGCCCGAGGCCAACGCAGCUAGGAAAUGGCAGAGCCGGGAUUCGGACCCAGGUCAUCCAUCUCCUGAGCACCUGUGUGCUCCGAACCUCUACACCAUGUCACCUGUGCUUUGAGAGCAUCUAAGUCAACCGUCGUCUCCCCCCAAGGACAGGAAGUUUUGUGUGCCUUCUGCGCAGCUGAAUUCCCAGUGCUUAGGACAGGGCGAGGCACGGAGCAGUACCCGAUAGAUACCCGUUAAAGGAAGGAAUGAACAAAUUCAGAAAGAGACUCAUUUUCACCAGUUGUUGAUGAUGGUGGGGGUGGUGGCGGUGAUGAAGAAAUAAAUGACAUGGGGUACAAUGACUUGGGGAAAAUCGCUCGGCAGCUUCCUAAAAAGUUAGAUGCGUAACUCCCAUAUAUGACCCAGGCAUCCACUCCUAGGGGUACACGCUGGAGAAAUGACAGCCGAUGUUCACACAAAGACUUGUACACCAGUGUUCAAAGCACUCCUAUUUGUAAUGGCCCCAAACUGGAAGCCACCCCAAUGUCCAACCAACAGGUGACUCAAUAAACCAACUGGGGUGACUUAACCUGUCCCACGCAAUGGCCUAGUUCCACACGCACGGAUCUCAAAACAAUGAUGCCGGGUGGAAAAACAACAACAACAACAAAAAAGCCAGACGUGGGAAUACAUACUACAUAAAUUGCAUUCCAGAAAAUGCAAACUAACCAAUGGUGACAGAAAGCGGAUCUGUCUUUGCGCGGGGCGGAGUGUGUGCGGAGGAGGCCUAUGGG